This 838-nucleotide ribosomal RNA is filed under the name Micrococcus luteus. RNAcentral's name for it is "bacterial SSU rRNA". It matches the Rfam family "Bacterial small subunit ribosomal RNA", at positions 521 to 1356 of the family's 1533-position model. The record is from RNAcentral. Lineage: Bacteria; Bacillati; Actinomycetota; Actinomycetes; Micrococcales; Micrococcaceae.
UAAUACGUAGGGUGCGAGCGUUAUCCGGAAUUAUUGGGCGUAAAGAGCUCGUAGGCGGUUUGUCGCGUCUGUCGUGAAAGUCCGGGGCUUAACCCCGGAUCUGCGGUGGGUACGGGCAGACUAGAGUGCAGUAGGGGAGACUGGAAUUCCUGGUGUAGCGGUGGAAUGCGCAGAUAUCAGGAGGAACACCGAUGGCGAAGGCAGGUCUCUGGGCUGUAACUGACGCUGAGGAGCGAAAGCAUGGGGAGCGAACAGGAUUAGAUACCCUGGUAGUCCAUGCCGUAAACGUUGGGCACUAGGUGUGGGGACCAUUCCACGGUUUCCGCGCCGCAGCUAACGCAUUAAGUGCCCCGCCUGGGGAGUACGGCCGCAAGGCUAAAACUCAAAGGAAUUGACGGGGGCCCGCACAAGCGGCGGAGCAUGCGGAUUAAUUCGAUGCAACGCGAAGAACCUUACCAAGGCUUGACAUGUUCUCGAUCGCCGUAGAGAUACGGUUUCCCCUUUGGGGCGGGUUCACAGGUGGUGCAUGGUUGUCGUCAGCUCGUGUCGUGAGAUGUUGGGUUAAGUCCCGCAACGAGCGCAACCCUCGUUCCAUGUUGCCAGCACGUCGUGGUGGGGACUCAUGGGAGACUGCCGGGGUCAACUCGGAGGAAGGUGAGGACGACGUCAAAUCAUCAUGCCCCUUAUGUCUUGGGCUUCACGCAUGCUACAAUGGCCGGUACAAUGGGUUGCGAUACUGUGAGGUGGAGCUAAUCCCAAAAAGCCGGUCUCAGUUCGGAUUGGGGUCUGCAACUCGACCCCAUGAAGUCGGAGUCGCUAGUAAUCGCAGAUCAGCAAC